CACACCUCACUAACACUGACC
This 21-nucleotide microRNA is filed under the name Caenorhabditis elegans. Its description in RNAcentral is "microRNA mir-253". Lineage: Eukaryota; Metazoa; Nematoda; Chromadorea; Rhabditida; Rhabditidae. The record is from RNAcentral.